Molecule: long non-coding RNA, 2631 nt
Organism: Helicoverpa armigera (cotton bollworm)
Lineage: Eukaryota; Metazoa; Arthropoda; Insecta; Lepidoptera; Noctuidae
Exons: 2
Source: RefSeq, a predicted model, not a curated record
CUGGAAUAAGUCAGAUUUUACUUUAAAACUUGAUGUUAUACUGUAGCCUAAAUUAUAAUUUCGACAUGUAGAGCACAGUGGAGUCACAAUCACAAAGUCCGCAUAAAAGUACCGGCCGGCAACACGCAGCCAGUAAUCCAACAUAUCUCGUUAAAAGGCGUCUUCCUCAUUCGCCUCGUUCCUAGAGCUAGAAGGAGAUGACGCGAAAACAACUUAUCUGGCCCUGUUAGGAAUAUGCAUGUGUGCGUGUAUCUGUAAAUAAGGAAGGUCAAGCGGAUGAAACGGACUUAGUAUGUAGCUAUGGUGACCACCCAGCCUUCGGCCCUAGAUUAAGUCUGUACGCACACAUGUAUAAUGUGCUGACUAUAAUUUUAAGAACUUAGGUAGAUAAGUCGCCCCACCGGAGAUGUCGCGCCGAGAUGGGUCAGACAGUAGAUUAGUUUUUUUACAAUUAAAAGUACCUCAGAAUCGGUAACACGCUUUUAAUUUGUCUCCCGAAAUUCCUUAGUAGUAAUACUUAGUAAUUUCAAUAGUUUCCCCGCUCCGGAAACAAGAGUGGCGCAGCCGGUAGGAUUUCGCUGUUAUAUUCCUAAAUUCUUCGCGGUUUUAAAUUCGUCGCGUGUCUCGAGGACGAGCUGCACGAUAGCUGUGGGAAUUUAAGGACGAGUGAAAUCCGACGAACCAAAUAAAUUACUCUUGGUGCGUGUGGGCAAACAAAGGAAUACCAAGGAUGAGAGUAGCAGCUGGCUGGUGCGGCAUAUUAUUGAUGACAGUCACGAUGCUGUCGCUGGCCCUUCAUCUGCAAAAUCUUGAAGGUAAUCCAGGAGUUUUACCGGUGAAACAAGGUCAUGCAUAUUUCCAAACUGAUCAGUGGACUAUUGUAAAGAUCAUCAGCCUAGAUCAAAUUUAUACUGACCUUAACUACAUCUCUACCAACUAUCAAGCGCUUUGUAAUUUAAUUGAUUGGAAUGCAUCAUACUCACAAGAAAUUAUGACUAUUAAAAUGCAUACAGAUUCCAUACGUGAUUUAACUGUAGAAAAAUACCAACAGCUUAUACCAUCCAAACGAUCUAAACGAGGACUCAUUAAUCCACUGGGCUCUAUUAUAAAAUUGUUACCGGUAAUUUGGAUCAUGAUGAUGCGUUGAAGUAUGAUAAUCUCAUUUCUAAAUUGAAUCAAGGUCAAAUCACUAUAUCUAAAAGGUUAACAUUGGUCUCUAAAAUGUUUGACAGUUUUAUUAAUGCCACUGAAACUAUUGAACAGAAUACAAUUAACUUCCAUAACAGGUUAACUAAAAUUGAAACAUUAAUUAAAGAUUUAACUGCUCAGCAAAAUAGUUGGAUUUUUCUGACGUACUUAACUGGGUUGUUCAAUGUUUUCAUGAGUAACUUUCGUACUAUAUUUAUUAGAUUAAGUGAAAUCGAAACUGCACUUGCAUUAAGCAGAGUCUCUAUUUUACAUCAAUCAAUUGUUAAUUCUUCAGAACUUUUAUAUCAUCUUAAAUUAAUAUCCGAAUAUGAAAGCUUAAUAUAUCCUCCCGCCGAAGCGAACUUGUUAAAAAUAGAAGAGAUUAUAUGUGUUAAAUCAUUUAUUAAAAGUAAUCAAAUAACGUUUAUAAUGGAGAUACCACUUACCGAUAAUGUUACUUAUAACUAUUAUAAGAUUUACUCCUACCAAUUUUCCAUGACACCGAAAAUAAGACCCUAGCUAUUUUCCCCAAAUACCCUUACCUAUUGGCGAAAGAAAAUAGAUACUCACCAAUCGCAAUACCGUGUAGACCAUUCUCUGCCGGUGCUCGCUUCCUCUGCACUGCAGACAACAGGAUCCCCUUCUAUGAACUUACCUGUGUCGAACAGCUUAUGAAUUUCGAAAACGACCUUACCCUUUGCAAACAACAUCCAAUAGAAAUCGAACAGGUCAGAGUCCAACAAGUCGCUAACAACAACUGGAUCCUGUAUAGUGAAGAGAAGACCACACUAACAGAACGAUGCAAGGAUGAGACCAGUAGACAAUUGGUAUUUGGUACUUACCUGAUGACCAUCGAAGAACCCUGUGAGGUGGAGAUUCAUGGCAUACACAUUAAUCAUCGUAUCUUCAUAGAGUCCGAUGUGGUGAAAAGAGUACCAAUCAUCGCCUUACCUCAGUUACGCACUAACGCACAGCUAUCCAGUACACGUGCACUUGAUAUGAAGGGCAUAAAUCUAGACGAAGUGAAAUAUAUGGCGUAUUCGUUAAAACAUAGUGAAGUGAUCGAAAGUGUUUUUGAUAAAAGGGACAGUAGCUUCAGUGCGUCCUUGGUGUACGUGACCUUAGGUUUAGUUAUUUUAAGUAUUUUUGUAUUUUCCGUUUAUGUUGUUCGGCUCAAAUUGCUGAAAUACACGUGUUUCAAGAAAAAUUAUCGGAACCAAUCUAAAAUCGAUUCUCCCGAUAAUUUUCCUCUUAAGGUCGGAGGAGCUAUGGUGACCACCCAGCCUUCGGCCCUAGAUUAAGUCUGUACGCACACAUGUAUAAUGUGCUGACUAUAAUUUUAAGAACUUAGGUAGAUAAGUCGCCCCACCGGAGAUGUCGCGCCGAGAUGGGUCAGACAGUAGAUUAGUUUUUUUACAAUUAAAAGUACCUCAGAAUCGGUAA